CGGCGGACGGGUGAGUAAUGCCUGGGAAAUUGCCCUGAUGUGGGGGAUAACCAUUGGAAACGAUGGCUAAUACCGCAUAAUAGCUUCGGCUCAAAGAGGGGGACCUUCGGGCCUCUCGCGUCAGGAUAUGCCCAGGUGGGAUUAGCUAGUUGGUGAGGUAAGGGCUCACCAAGGCGACGAUCCCUAGCUGGUCUGAGAGGAUGAUCAGCCACACUGGAACUGAGACACGGUCCAGACUCCUACGGGAGGCAGCAGUGGGGAAUAUUGCACAAUGGGCGCAAGCCUGAUGCAGCCAUGCCGCGUGUAUGAAGAAGGCCUUCGGGUUGUAAAGUACUUUCAGCAGUGAGGAAGGCGGAUUCGUUAAUAGCGCGCCUCGUUUGACGUUAGCUGCAGAAGAAGCACCGGCUAACUCCGUGCCAGCAGCCGCGGUAAUACGGAGGGUGCGAGCGUUAAUCGGAAUUACUGGGCGUAAAGCGCAUGCAGGUGGUUUGUUAAGUCAGAUGUGAAAGCCCGGGGCUCAACCUCGGGAAUUGCAUUUGAAACUGGCAGACUAGAGUA
This 558-nucleotide ribosomal RNA is filed under the name Vibrio brasiliensis. RNAcentral's name for it is "bacterial SSU rRNA". It matches the Rfam family "Bacterial small subunit ribosomal RNA", at positions 96 to 648 of the family's 1533-position model. The record is from RNAcentral. Lineage: Bacteria; Pseudomonadati; Pseudomonadota; Gammaproteobacteria; Vibrionales; Vibrionaceae.